Molecule: non-coding RNA, 1376 nt
Organism: Cyanistes caeruleus (blue tit)
Lineage: Eukaryota; Metazoa; Chordata; Aves; Passeriformes; Paridae
Source: RefSeq, a predicted model, not a curated record
GCACGGGAAGGGCAGCGCGGGCAGGGGAAGCGCGCCUCACCUCUCACGGAGCUCAGAUCCGUGUGAACGCCCUCCUGCCGCGGGCAGGGACACCUCCCACCGCAGAACGUGCUGAGCUGGACAUGAACCGCGAGCAUCAGGGACACCGACACCUGGGUAUCCCCAAGGAUCACGCCUGGGAGUGCUGUCCUAACCCUGCGCCAAGCACUAAAGCCUGCAGCAAAUGAUUGUAGCAGAGGGGAAGGGCACUCGCCCACACCACGAGAAGGAGUGAGAUGGAGUUUCAAACCUUUUCCUGAGCAAUUCCUCACUGGGAUCCACUUUGCUACCACCAGAUGUUAACAGGACAUAUUUCAGGAGAUCAGAGAGCUGGAAAAAGGAACUUGCUUUUAUUCAGAGCUGCACCUAAUGGCAGAUAUAUGGCCUUGGGUAUGCAGAAGGUUUGUGGACACCUCGAAUACCGCAGCAGUUACAAGGCAGUAGUUUCUAAGAAACACCUGAGGUGUUUUCUUGGUUUUCAAAGGAGGAACCAUAAUAAAAGCAAAUAAUAAUUCUUACAUCUGAGUUGUAGAUCUUCUUUAAAUGCUCUGGAGGGGCACUGUACAGGAAUCCUGACUGAAUCAGUGUCACUGCUUCACCCAGCCCACUCUUGCAGGACCGACCCUCCUUCAUCUCCUGCUACUGCUGUCCACAGCUCCUGACAAUGUACACAGGAAUUCCCACAUGGACUCUUCCAAAUAAACCUUUGUGGGCCUUAUUCACACCUGCCUUUGGAGCCUUCAGCAAGGAAAUUCUGCUGAAUGCUCUCCUCAAAUGUCAAAUAUUCGUAUUAUAAUACCUAUGUAUUCUCAAAGAAAUCCAGCACACAUUUGGAAACCGCCCUCUGAUAAUGCCUGGGGUGUUCUUUUUAUAGCUUACUUAAAUUACACAAGUAGAAAAGUUAUGCUUAUUAAUAGUUUAAUGUAUGAAGGAAACAUCCAGAUUUCUGAAUAUGAAGGUACAUAUCUCACAUUAAUUUAAGUCUACAUAAAGUAGAGCCUCUAUAACUGACAUAUUGAAAUUUACUUUCUGCUUAGCCAUUUGUUAUGUAAACAAUUGUACAUUUAUUUGCCAUUCUAAAACUUCAGGAUCAAGUUUACAUAAUUUUGCUAAAUUUCUGUGUUUGCUCAGAAGCAGUUUACAGUACUAAAACCAACCAGCCAAAGAACAGCUUCAACAGAAAGUUAUGUCAAAAAAAAAAAAAAAAAAAAAAAAAAAAAAAAGGAAAAAAAAAAGAAAAAAACAAAAAGAAGAGGAGGAAAGGAAAGAAGAAAGUCUAACUAAGUUGAAACAUAUGAUGGUGGGGAAUGGGUGGUCACAAUGUUCACAGAAAAAGG